ACGCACGCUGGCGGCGUGCUUAACACCUUCCAGUCGCACGGAAAGGCCCUGCUUUUGUGGGGUGCUCGAGUGGCGAACGGGUGAGUAACACGUGAGUAACCUGCCCUUGACUUUGGGAUAACUUCAGGAAACUGGGGCUAAUACCGGAUAGGAGCUCCUGCUGCAUGGUGGGGGUUGGAAAGUUUCGGCGGUUGGGGAUGGACUCGCGGCUUAUCAGCUUGUUGGUGGGGUAGUGGCUUACCAAGGCUUUGACGGGUAGCCGGCCCGAGAGGGUGACCGGCCACAUUGGGACUGAGAUACGGCCCAGACUCCUACGGGAGGCAGCAGUGGGGAAUAUUGCACAAUGGGCGGAAGCCUGAUGCAGCAACGCCGCGUGCGGGAUGACGGCCUUCGGGUUGUAAACCGCUUUCGCCUGUGACGAAGCGUGAGUGACGGUAAUGGGUAAAGAAGCACCGGCUAACUACGUG
RNAcentral lists this ribosomal RNA (467 nucleotides) under uncultured bacterium. RNAcentral's name for it is "partial 16S ribosomal RNA". It matches the Rfam family "Bacterial small subunit ribosomal RNA", at positions 29 to 507 of the family's 1533-position model. The record is from RNAcentral.